This 211-nucleotide small nucleolar RNA is filed under the name Carlito syrichta (Philippine tarsier). Its description in RNAcentral is "Small nucleolar RNA U3 (ENSTSYG00000027410.1)". It matches the Rfam family "Small nucleolar RNA U3". Rfam says of the family: Small nucleolar RNAs (snoRNAs) are involved in the processing and modification of rRNA in the nucleolus. The record is from RNAcentral. Lineage: Eukaryota; Metazoa; Chordata; Mammalia; Primates; Tarsiidae.
CAGAACAAUACUUUCAGGGAUUAUUUCUGUAGUUCAUUACUAGAGAAGCUCCUCUUAGCAUGUAGAGCACCAGAAAUCACAGGGAGGAGAGGCAGUGUUCUCUUCUGAGUGUGAAGUUGACACUUGGUGCUUUGCUGUAACUGCUGUUUACCAUUGGUGAUCGUUCUUUUCUUCCAGGAGAGUAAGAGGGAGAGGAUGCUAAAAAAAAAGU